RNAcentral lists this ribosomal RNA (1378 nucleotides) under metagenome. RNAcentral describes it as "bacterial LSU rRNA". It matches the Rfam family "Bacterial large subunit ribosomal RNA", at positions 1528 to 2925 of the family's 2925-position model. The record is from RNAcentral.
CACAGUAGGCAAAUCCGCUGUACAAUCCGAAGACGUGAUGCGGACCGAAUUAAGAGUAGGGAAGUGUGUGAGCCAUGCGUCAAGAAAAGCCGCUAUUGUUUUACUUAAGCCCGUACCGUAAACCGACACAGGUGGAUGAGGAGAGAAUCCUAAGGCCGACGGGAGAAGCAUUGUUAAGGAACUCGGCAAAAUGACUCCGUAACUUCGGGAGAAGGAGUGCCAGCGAGAGCUGGCCGCAGAGAAUUGGCCCAAGCAACUGUUUAGCAAAAACACAGGUCUAUGCAAAACCGUAAGGUGAAGUAUAUGGGCUGACGCCUGCCCGGUGCUGGAAGGUUAGGAGGAGAGGUUAGCGGUAACGCGAAGCUUUGAAUUUAAGCCCCAGUAAACGGCGGCCGUAACAAUAACGGUCCUAAGGCAGCGAAAUUCCUUGUCGGGUAAGUUCCGACCCGCACGAAAGGCGUAAUGAUUUGGGCACUGUCUCAACAAUGCACCCGGUGAAAUUGAAAUACCAGUGAAGAUGCUGGUUACCUGCGCCAGGACGGAAAGACCCCAUGGAGCUUUACUCCAGCUUGAUACUGGGAUUCGGUAUUGCAUGUACAGGAUAGGUGGGAGGCUAGGAAGUGAUAACGCCAGUUGUCACGGAGCCGCUGUUGGGAUACCACCCUUGCAGUAUUGGAUUUCUAACCAGCGACCAUGAACUGGUCGGGGGACAAUGUCAGGUGGGGAGUUUGACUGGGGCGGUCGCCUCCGAAAGGGUAUCGGAGGCGCUCAAAGGUUCCCUCAGAAUGGACGGAAACCAUUCGAAGAGUGCAAAGGCAGAAGGGAGCUUGACUGCGACACCGACGGGUGGAGCAGGUACGAAAGUAGGACUUAGUGAUCCGGUGGUAUAAAGUGGGAUUGCCAUCGCUCAACGGAUAAAAGCUACCCUGGGAUAACAGGCUUAUCACUCCCAAGAGUUCACAUCGACGGAGUGGUUUGGCACCUCGAUGUCGGCUCAUCGCAUCCUGGGGCUGAAGUAGGUCCCAAGGGUUGGGCUAUUCGCCCAUUAAAGCGGUACGCGAGCUGGGUUCAGAACGUCGUGAGACAGUUCGGUCCCUAUCCGGCGUGGGCGUAGGAUAUUUGAGAGGAGCUGUCCUUAGUACGAGAGGACCGGGAUGGACUGGCCGCUGGUGUAUCUGUUGCUUACCAAAUGCAUGGCAGAGUAGCCAAGCCGGGACGGGAUAAACGCUGAAGGCAUCUAAGCGUGAAGCCCCCCUCAAGAUGAGAUAUCCCUACGUAAGUAGUAAGACCCCUUGAAGACGACGAGGUAGAUAGGUCAGAGGUGGAAGUACAGUAAUGUAUGGAGCUGACUGAUACUAAUCGGUCGAGGGCAUGACCA